GAUGAACGCUGGCGGCGUGCCUAAUACAUGCAAGUCGAGCGAACAGAUGAGGAGCUUGCUCCUCUGACGUUAGCGGCGGACGGGUGAGUAACACGUGGAUAACCUACCUAUAAGACUGGGAUAACUUCGGGAAACCGGAGCUAAUACCGGAUAAUAUAUUGAACCGCAUGGUUCAAUAGUGAAAGACGGCUUUGCUGUCACUUAUAGAUGGAUCCGCGCCGCAUUAGCUAGUUGGUAAGGUAACGGCUUACCAAGGCAACGAUGCGUAGCCGACCUGAGAGGGUGAUCAGCCACACUGGAACUGAGACACGGUCCAGACUCCUACGGGAGGCAGCAGUAGGGAAUCUUCCGCAAUGGGCGAAAGCCUGACGGAGCAACGCCGCGUGAGUGAUGAAGGUCUUCGGAUCGUAAAACUCUGUUAUUAGGGAAGAACAAAUGUGUAAGUAACUAUGCACGUCUUGACGGUACCUAAUCAGAAAGCCACGGCUAACUACGUG
Molecule: ribosomal RNA, 497 nt
Filed under: uncultured bacterium
Lineage: Bacteria
Description: partial 16S ribosomal RNA
Rfam family: Bacterial small subunit ribosomal RNA
Source: RNAcentral